RNA transcript from Panicum virgatum (switchgrass), 1518 nucleotides. It is a transcript of the gene named serine/arginine-rich splicing factor SC35-like, with no coding region annotated. The record is from RefSeq and is a predicted model, not a curated record. NCBI's taxonomy places the organism in Eukaryota, Viridiplantae, Streptophyta, Magnoliopsida, Poales, Poaceae. The transcript is spliced from 10 exons.
CGGCAGCUUUUGUGGCCGCCCCUCUCUGGCUCUGCUCUCUUCUCCCCCUUCCCGUCCCCGACGGCCGACCAUUUCCUGUCAUCUCCCAAUCCCUCGCUUUCCCACCUCCAUCCACCGGCCGCGCCCCGCGCCGCCGAAUCUCCGGCGAGAUGUCGCGCUUCGGGCGAUCCGGCCCGCCGCCAAUCCGCGACACCUACUCCCUCCUCGUCCUCAACAUCACCUUCCGGACGACGGCUGAUGACCUCUUCCCGCUCUUCGACAAGUACGGCGAGGUCGUCGACAUCUACAUCCCCAGGGACCGCAGGACUGGUGACUCCCGAGGCUUCGCGUUCGUGAGGUACAAGUACGAGGACGAGGCGCAGAAGGCAGUUGAUAGGCUCGAUGGGAGAGUGGUAGACGGGAGAGAGAUCAUGGUGCAGUUUGCCAAAUAUGGCCCAAAUGCUGAACGGAUUAAUAAAGGGAGAAUAGUGGAGCCAGUACCAAGGUCAAGAGGCCGUUCCAGAAGCCGCAGUCCAAGACGGAGGUACCGUGAUGAUUAUCGAGAUGAUUACCGGGAUAGAGAUUAUAGACGACGAAGUCGUAGUCGGAGUAGAGAUAGGUAUUCACGUGACAGUUACAGAGAGAGGGAUUAUCGUCGCCAUAGCAGGAGUCGCAGCUACAGCCCUGAUGGUUACAAGAAGCAUGGGAGGGACAGUUUGUCUCCUGCACGUAGAAGUCCUAGUCGUAGCCGAAGCCAAAGCCGAAGUCGCAGCUACAGUCCUGAUGAUAACAAGAGGCGUGGCAGAGACAGUGCAUCACCUGCGAGUAGGAGCCCUAGCCGGUCCCCACCUCGCAAGACAUCACCUUCUCCUGAGAGAUCUCCUGUCAGGCGCAAGCGCAAUGAUGACCGGUCUCCACGUUCUCGGAGCCCUUCGACAUGAGCAUUGUAUCAUUUGAAGCGCAUCUUUAACAUCUCAGGAUGAAUGGACUGGGCUAUGUGUUUUCUUGUUGGUGGGCCUUCUUCAGUUACAUUUCUGUAAUGCUGGCUGUCAGUCGCUGCUUCAAGCUUCGAGUACUACUUUCAUUUGGCACCAGUACCGCUUGUCAAGAACUUUAUUUGCAUGAUGGAGUGAAGAUGUGCUGGCUGAUUUGCGGUCAACAUGAACGUAGCUUACUGUUGAAGUUGAUAUAAUCUGUGCUGUUUGCCUUGUUGAUGAUGAUGAGUUGAUGUUGAUGGUGAUAAGAUGAUGGUGGCACUGCAGCUGCCUACACCACUUGCUGUCCGCACCUAUUAUGCUGACAAGUAAGAUUCCAAAGGUUUAGCUAACUUCAGAGUUCAAUUCUUUCUUAAUCAUGAAAUGCUUUCCCAAGUUUCUACAUGCCGGGUGCCACCACCAACCCCCCUAUUCGUUAUUUGGAUUUGAAUGUGUCUGCGGUGAUUUCUUACAGACAUCUUUUAGAUUUUUUUUCUUUUUUUUUGUCAUGAGCCCUUCAAAGACAUAUAGAUCAAUUGCUGCAUACUUUGGUCUUGCUGCUUCA